Molecule: long non-coding RNA, 1988 nt
Organism: Anas platyrhynchos (mallard)
Lineage: Eukaryota; Metazoa; Chordata; Aves; Anseriformes; Anatidae
Source: RefSeq, a predicted model, not a curated record
CGCCUGCAAGGGAGCCGCGGUGGUCUGCAGCACCGGCAGCACAGCCCCAGCCCUCGGGGACACGGGUUGGAGAUGCCAUAGAAGGGGACCUCACCACCGGGAGGACUCACGCUGACCUUCUUGGACAGAGUGGGCUGGAUUCCGCUUCCCAAGCCCUCCUCCAGCUUUCAUUUCAGAGCCUCACCUCUGCUGAAUCCAGCCCCCUGAAUUCAGCCGAGCCGAGAAAGCGUGUGAUCCUGCACCAUUUGUGCUCGACAACAACUCCUUAAAUACCCUGCAUGGGUCCAUAAAAAGCAGUGUUUUCCCACCCAGGAGAGAGCAUGUUAUUCCACCAGAUCCAUCAGGGCAUGACACAGACAUACAUGGUCGGGAACCACUGUCUUCCUGGACUGCCACAAGCACGAAAAAAAAAAUAAAAGCUUUUUUGGGAGUGCCGCAGCUCUGACAGUGAGGUUUCUUCCAAAUAUUUUGGUGCGGUUUGGUCAUCAGCUCACGCAGGCGGUCAUGCACCAAACUGCUAGGAUCAAGUGCUUCUGCAACCUGAUCCAGUCUGCUCCCAUCCCCAGCAGCUAAACAACUGCAUUAGAAACCUCACCUACACUAAGUGCCUUAUUUCAGGGGUCCAGCGGGGCUUUCAAGUGCAGAUGCUUUCCGAGCAGAGAGAAUGGAUUUGGUCGAAAGAAUAAAUAAUGCUCAUAAUAUUUCAAUUUGCAAUUCAAGCAGAGAGACCUGAAAGAGGGUGGAUUUCCACACACUGAGCACCUAAGAGCCAAAAGCCAGAUGGCUCAGCUGGACACCUAAACUAUCGGGUACUCUCAGCGGUCACUUCAGAAAAUGCAGCCCUGAGUCCUUUGGUUAAUACAAAACAGGCCAAGCAUCUUCCAAACGCUCCAAUGAAACCCUCCAAACAUCCUAUUUGGAAAGUUAUUAGCUGGUAGCUGACAAAACCAAUUCUCCCCCUUCAUUUACGGAGAUGAAAAUUGGCAUCAUUCUCCCGAGUUUCAAAAUAGAACGGUAGUGAUGUUAACACGAAUAAAUCAACCGGGAAGAUGUUUGUAAGCCUUGAUCAGCCAAAGAGAUAUACUUACCUGCUAUAAAGGAAGAUUGCUGACUUUUCUAUUUCCAUUAACUGUUGCCAAAUCUCAUAAAUGUAAACAGAGAAUAAAUCCUUUCAGUCACUGAAUAUGAAUAUUCUCCUGGGAAAAUCCAGCUGGCAUCCAACUUGAUUUAUGUGCUUUAAAAAAAGCAUUUGUUUUAUAUGCCUAGGGUGAGCCUUAAAACAUAAGUUCACGUGUAAAAAAUAUUAAGGCUCGGGACCUAUUUCAGCAAAAAGUGCACAUCCUCUGCUCAGCUGCCUACCAUUCGCCACACAGGGAGCCAAAGUCGUGUGGGCCUGGGGUCACAGCAUCUGCUCGGAGGAAUCGGUGAAGCUUGGGUAUUGCAAAACACACACCUCUGGCAUCACGGCCCCUUUCCAGACAGCUACUGCAGCUCCUACACUUUGUACUCAAAUGAGAAGUCUGGAGCCUAAAUAUUCACUGGAUGCACUCUUCUUUGCCGCUUCUCUUCCACGUUACUUUAUGCUACUUCCCCCACUUCAUCCUCUGCAGAUGCUCCUAACAUCCAUCUCUUAACCCUCUUCAAAUAUAUAAUGCAUUAAAAGUAUGACAUCCGUAACAAGUAAACUUCAAUUCUUACUGAACAUGAGCAGCACCAGCAGAUUCAGGCUAAUUACACAUCACAGGGCUCUCCUAUCCAUAUUUCCUAAGUUUGAGGGGAAAAUAUAUCUUACAGCCACUCGUUGCUCUUCAGCGUGUUCCCUCAUUUUAGAUGCACUAACCGAAUUGUUAGAGGAAUGCACAUCUUGUCAAAGCCAUAUUAUUAAGCAAAACGUGAUUACGAUGUCGGUAACAAGCCUGUCCUUUGGCUGCGGAGGAUGGAGCUAUGUGAGCUCCGGGUGGUGGAAGGGAGUAACGUCACGCUGAGAA